Molecule: long non-coding RNA, 310 nt
Filed under: Nicotiana benthamiana
Lineage: Eukaryota; Viridiplantae; Streptophyta; Magnoliopsida; Solanales; Solanaceae
Description: long non-coding RNA (NBEN_LNC034048)
Source: RNAcentral
UUUUCCGAAAAUGAUGCUCGCUUGGCGAGAAAGGAUUUUUGUGAUGAUCUUGCAGAUUCAUUGGACAAGAUUAAUCUUCAAGACAAUGAGGAAAAGAAGAGCCCAAAGGAAGUCCAAGACGAAGUCGCGGAACAACUCUUGGAAGAGAUACAUCCACAGGAGGAAGAAGCGAUGAUGCCUAACGCCUCUAGGACAUCUAAAAACCAUCCUCUCGACAAGGUAAUUGGCAACAUCGAACAAGGGGUAUGUACUCGAAACUCUCUUAAGGACACUGUAGGACACAUGGCCUUUGUUUCUCAAAUAGAACCUU